AGAGUUUGAUCCUGGCUCAGGAUGAACGCUGGCGGCGUGCUUAACACAUGCAAGUCGAACGGUGAAGCCAAGCUUGCUUGGUGGAUCAGUGGCGAACGGGUGAGUAACACGUGAGCAACCUGCCCUGGACUCUGGGAUAAGCGCUGGAAACGGCGUCUAAUACUGGAUAUGAGCCUCUUCCGCAUGGUGGGGGUUGGAAAGAUUUUUUGGUUCUGGGAUGGGCUCGCGGCCUAUCAGCUUGUUGGUGAGGUAAUGGCUCACCAAGGCGUCGACGGGUAGCCGGCCUGAGAGGGUGACCGGCCACACUGGGACUGAGACACGGCCCAGACUCCUACGGGAGGCAGCAGUGGGGAAUAUUGCACAAUGGGCGAAAGCCUGAUGCAGCAACGCCGCGUGAGGGAUGACGGCCUUCGGGUUGUAAACCUCUUUUAGCAGGGAAGAAGCGAAAGUGACGGUACCUGCAGAAAAAGCGCCGGCUANAAACGUGUCAAA
This 492-nucleotide ribosomal RNA is filed under the name Microbacterium aurantiacum. Its description in RNAcentral is "bacterial SSU rRNA". It matches the Rfam family "Bacterial small subunit ribosomal RNA", at positions 8 to 512 of the family's 1533-position model. Lineage: Bacteria; Bacillati; Actinomycetota; Actinomycetes; Micrococcales; Microbacteriaceae. The record is from RNAcentral.